UACGUAGGGGGCAAGCGUUGUCCGGAUUUAUUGGGCGUAAAGAGCGUGUAGGCGGCCAGACAGGUCCGUUGUGAAAACUCGAGGCUCAACCUCGAGACGCCGAUGGAAACCGUCUGGCUAGAGUCCGGAAGAGGAGAGUGGAAUUCCCGGUGUAGCGGUGAAAUGCGCAGAUAUCGGGAAGAACACCAAUGGCGAAGGCAGCUCUCUGGGACGGUACUGACGCUGAGACGCGAAAGCGUGGGGAGCGAACAGG
This 253-nucleotide ribosomal RNA is filed under the name uncultured bacterium. RNAcentral describes it as "partial 16S ribosomal RNA". It matches the Rfam family "Bacterial small subunit ribosomal RNA", at positions 524 to 776 of the family's 1533-position model. The record is from RNAcentral.